Molecule: long non-coding RNA, 1630 nt
Filed under: Homo sapiens (human)
Lineage: Eukaryota; Metazoa; Chordata; Mammalia; Primates; Hominidae
Description: non-protein coding LINC00847:26
Source: RNAcentral
AUUCCCGACCUCCGCACCCUACCCGGUCCGCAGGGCACCUUCCUCCUCUCUCUCAGGCACGUCCUCGACCUCAGUUGCCACGUGCACAUGCUGGUGCCUUCCAGGUCGGUCUUUCUCCACCAGACUCCACCUGGAACUUUCUUCCUUUUCGUCCUGUGCUGGCCUAACCCCUGCUCGGCCUCGGCCCUCAGCUGCCGGCUCUAACAAAGCCUCUGUCUUUCCCAGACCCCUGUGACCAGGCUGGAGUAUAGUGGCAUGAUCAUAGAUCACUGCAGCCUCAAACUCCUGGGCUCAAGCGAUCCUCCCACCUCAGCCUCCAUAUAGCUGGUGGGGACCAAGUUUCUAACACAUGAAUGUUGGGAGACACAUUCAGACCAUCGCAGUGGCCUUAUAAAAAGAGACACAAGAGCUUGCUCUCUGCCAUGUGAGAAUACCACAAGAAGACUGUCCUCAGCAAAUCAGAAAGCGGGUGGACCCUCAUCAGACACCAGAUGUGCCUGCACCUUGAUCUUGGACUUGCCAGCCUUCAGAACAGUAAGAAAGAAAUGUGUGUUGUUUAAGCCACCCAGUCUAUGGUAACUUGCUAUAGCAGCCCACUAGGAGACCCCAAGAUAUUUAAAAACUCAUCAGCACCUGCUUUCUGCAUCUGGACCCUGAUCUUCUGGUGGGUUUACCAGUUACUUGUAGAGUGUCCCUGUGAUAGUUUUAGGUGUCAACUUGACAGGAUUGAGGGAUGCCUAGAUGGCUGGGGAAGCACUGUUUCUGAGAAGGACCAUGUUUUUGGAGGAGACUGUUUUAUGAGUGAAUUUCAGGGGACACAUUCAGAUCAUGGCAGUGGCAUUAUAAAGAGAGACACAAAAGCUUGCUCUCUCUCUCUGCCAUGUAAGACUACCACACAAAGACUGCCAUCUGCAAACCAGAAGCAGGUGGGCUUUCCUCAGACACCAGAUCUGCCUGCACCUUGAUCUUGGACUUGCCAGCCUUCAGAACUCUAAGAAAGAAAUGGUAGCAUGGCUUGGUCUAAGUUGGAAGGCCUGAGAAACAAGCACAUGGUGGAACUGAGUUCAAGGAUAAAGACUUGAGAAUACCUGCUCAGUGGACUGAGUAGGGAAGAUCAACCCUCAAUGUAGGCAGGCACUAUCCAAUCACCUGAGGGCCCAGAUGGAACAAAAAGGUGGAAGAAGGGUGAAUUCUCUCUUCCAGAGCUGUGACACCCUUCUCAUGCCCUUGUACCACACAACUCUAGGUCCUUUGGCCUUUGGACUCUGACACUUGCACCAGUGGCCCUCUGGGGCUCUCAAGCCUUUAGCCUUGAACUUAGUUACACCAUGUGCCUCCUUGUUUCUCAGGCCUUCCAACUUGGAUCAGGCCAUGCCACCGGCUUCUCUGAUUCUCCAGCUUGCAGAUGGUAUAUUGUGACCCUGGCAUUUAAUAACUAUGACUUUGGUCUUAAGCAAUUUUCUUCCUCUGUGGAUUGAUAUUUACAUAUCAAUGUGGAUAAUAAUUUCUUACCACGGUAACUGUUGUGAGGUAAAAAUGAGUUAACAUAAGUAAAACCGAGCACAUGCAAACCAUCCGAAAUGGUUAAUACUUACUAUUUGUACUUGAAGAAAUAAAUGUUUUUGACAAU